CAAUAGCGUAUAUUAAAGUUGUUGCAGUUAAAAAGCUCGUAGUUGGAUCUCGGAGUGUUUGGCAGGGCUGGUCCGCCGAAAUAGGUGAGCACCGUCCUGCCCGCUCCUCUUGUCCGGGUUCUCAUCCCUGCUAUUCACUUAGUGGGGAACCAAAGGUUCUGCUCCCGCCCUCGGGUGGGGGUGGAGCUGGAGGCCCGGACCAUUUACUUUGAAAAAAUUAGAGUGUUCAAAGCAGACAAGUCAAAACUGUCAUUGAAUAUAUUAGCAUGGGAUAAUGGAAUAAGCCUCUCUGCUUAUUUUGUUGGUUUCUAAGUAGGGAGAAAUGAUUGAUAGGGACAGUUGGGGGCAUUAAUAUUUAAUUGUCAGAGGUGAAAUUCUUGGAUUUAUGAAAGAUUAACUUCUGCGAAAGCAUUUGUCAAGGAUGUUUUCAUUAAUCAAGAACGAAAGUUAGGGGAUCGAAGAUGAUUAGAUACCGUCGUAGUCUUAACCAUAAACGAUGCCGACCAGCGAUUGGGAGACGUUACACAUGCUGCCCCAAAAGGCAGCAUGGAGGACUCCCCCAGCAGCUUGUGAGAAAUCAUAAGUCUUUGGGUUCCGGGGGGAGUAUGGUCGCAAGGCUGAAACUUAAA
RNAcentral lists this ribosomal RNA (629 nucleotides) under Balamuthia mandrillaris. RNAcentral describes it as "SSU rRNA". It matches the Rfam family "Eukaryotic small subunit ribosomal RNA", at positions 592 to 1148 of the family's 1831-position model. The record is from RNAcentral. Lineage: Eukaryota; Discosea; Longamoebia; Balamuthiidae.